Molecule: long non-coding RNA, 1084 nt
Filed under: Zea mays
Lineage: Eukaryota; Viridiplantae; Streptophyta; Magnoliopsida; Poales; Poaceae
Description: long non-coding RNA (ZMAY_LNC004368)
Source: RNAcentral
UCUUCCCGAGCUCCCUUGCUAGGUUCCUCGUCCGCCUCUCUGUCCUAGUCUCGUCAGCAACAGCACAGUGUUGUUACUGACGCGCCUUCACUCUGUUGACCUGCAUCUAGCCAAGUUUAUUUGGAGACUCCAACCUUUGGUCUCCCAAACUUGGAGCUCCCAAGGGGAGAGGUUCUGCCAAAAUUUUGGCUUCUGAGCAUCCAUUUUCAGGGGGAGGUUCUGCCAAAAUCUGCUCCUGUGAACAUAGAUUUCUCAAGGGGAGGUUCUGCCAAAAUUUCCUCCUGUAACCACCAGCUUUCCAGGGGGAGAUUCUGCCAAAAUUUCCUGCACUGAUCAUCAUUCUUCUAAGGGGAGGUUCUGCCGAAGUUUUCUUGUGUGACGACGACGAUCAGUUUCCAGGGGGAGAUUCUGCCAAAAUUUUCUGCACUGACCAUCAGUCUUCCAGGGGAGGUUCUGCCAAAAUUUUCUUCUCUCACUAUCACUUCUCCAAGGCCAAGCCCUGCCAAAAUUUCCUUCAUAUAUCACAUGCAUCGUAGACAUACAGACAAUAAACUCUAAUUUGCAAAGGUAACAAAAAAAAAAAGAGUGCUUUCCUCCUUGGCCUUGAUGGUAGGCUAGUAGAGAAAACCGCGCGCAGCAUCUGUUUACAUGUUGUUGCUCGUCCUGUCCGAGCACCUCCUUUCCAGAUUUAUGGUCGGUUCUGCCCUAACCCGCCUUGUCCAGUCCUUCUCUGUUGUUUUCCUCUACUGGUUUUAUGUCUUCUCAGUAAGCCGCCAGUAGUUGGACUCACCUUUUCAAGUUAUCUAGGCAUUUCCUAUAUAUUUACCACAUAUAAAAAUUAUACUAAGGCAGUAACAAAAGAGGUGCCUUUAUAUCUGACAAACAGAAGGGAGUGAAAAAGUUUAGAUUACACCUCAGUUUGCCUGUGGUGACAACUAUGUCAAGUGGCACUUCGUCCGGAUCGAGCCGGUGGGUCCAAAGUUCUAGAUCCGAGGAUGACCUAGAUCUCCAGGCCCAGAUGGAGAGGAGGAGAAAGCGGAGGAAGGAGUCGAAUCGGGAGUCAGCUCGGAGGUCUAGGCAACGG